CCUACGGGUGGCUGCAGUGAGGAAUAUUGGUCAAUGGGCGAGAGCCUGAACCAGCCAAGCCGCGUGAAGGAUGACGGCCCUACGGGUUGUAAACUCUUUUUUUCAGGGAGCAAUUGGGUCCACGCGUGGGCUUAGCUAGGGUACCUGAAGUAAAAGCAUCGGCUAACUACGUGCCAGCAGCCGCGGUAAUACGGAGGAUGCGAGCGUUAUCCGGAUUUAUUGGGUGUAAAGGGUGAGUAGGGGGAAGAGCAAGUCAGCGGUAAAAAUUCGGGGCUCAACCCCGUCGUGCCGUUGAAACUGAUGGUCUUGAGUGGGCUAGAGGUAUGCGGAAUGAGUGGUGUAGCGGUGAAAUGCAUAGAUAUCACGCAGAACUCCGAUUGCGAAGGCAGCAUACCGGCGCCCAACUGACGCUGAAGCACGAAAGCGUGGGUAUCGAACAGGAUUAGAUACCCGAGUAGUC
RNAcentral lists this ribosomal RNA (460 nucleotides) under uncultured bacterium. RNAcentral describes it as "partial 16S ribosomal RNA". It matches the Rfam family "Bacterial small subunit ribosomal RNA", at positions 338 to 795 of the family's 1533-position model. The record is from RNAcentral.